RNAcentral lists this ribosomal RNA (272 nucleotides) under uncultured bacterium. RNAcentral's name for it is "partial 16S ribosomal RNA". It matches the Rfam family "Bacterial small subunit ribosomal RNA", at positions 78 to 347 of the family's 1533-position model. The record is from RNAcentral.
UCUAAGUUUGAUGGCGACCGGCGCACGGGUGAGUAACACGUAUCCAACCUGCCGAUGACUCGGGGAUAGCCUUUCGAAAGAAAGAUUAAUACCCGAUGGCAUAGUUCUUCCGCAUGGUGGAACUAUUAAAGAAUUUCGGUCAUCGAUGGGGAUGCGUUCCAUUAGGUUGUUGGCGGGGUAACGGCCCACCAAGCCUUCGAUGGAUAGGGGUUCUGAGAGGAAGGUCCCCCACAUUGGAACUGAGACACGGUCCAAACUCCUACGGGAGCAUG